CUUCUUUUUGUUUAUAUGUUACUUCCAUUUUUUCGGACUGAAAAUAAAUCUUGUUAUGACAGCAUAGAAAACGGAAAAAUUACGAAAUGCUGUGUAGAUUACUACUUAGUAAACAAUACUUGUAAAGUGUGCCCUUCUGGAUGCUCUGAGUGUAAUUGCUUUCAACCUUGUGUGGGAUUGACGUAUAGAAUUGGAUGUAAUGCUGCCUGUUCUUGUCCAGA
This is a long non-coding RNA of Saccostrea cuccullata (small rock oyster), 221 nucleotides long. RefSeq lists it as uncharacterized. The transcript is spliced from 3 exons. The record is from RefSeq and is a predicted model, not a curated record. NCBI's taxonomy places the organism in Eukaryota, Metazoa, Mollusca, Bivalvia, Ostreida, Ostreidae.